Molecule: small RNA, 543 nt
Filed under: Pan troglodytes (chimpanzee)
Lineage: Eukaryota; Metazoa; Chordata; Mammalia; Primates; Hominidae
Description: processed transcript
Source: RNAcentral
ACAAGAGCUGAGCGGAAGCCAGGUCAAGGGUGGUGCUGAUCAUUGUGACUUCCCUGAUGAAGUUGAAGAACUCUUUCAUCAAUCUACCAACAGCCCUUACCAACGAGCUUGACUGGCCCCAACUCUCUGGUGCUACAGGAUUUCUGGACUCCACUGUUGGAAUUAAAGAAAAAUCUAUUUACCUUCGCUUAUGGAAAAGAAACCACUGUAAUCACAGGGACUACCAGAAUAUUUCAAGAAAUGGUGCAUCUUCCCGAAACCUGAAGAAAUUUAUAGAAAGCUUGUCUAGAAACAAGAUGUUGGACUAUCCCACCAUCGUUAUAUAUGCCAUGAUUGGAAAUGAUGUCUGCAGUGGGAAGAGUGACCCAGUCCCAGCCAUGACCACUCCUGAGAAACUCUACUCCAACAUCAUGCAGACUCUGAAGCAUCUAAAUUCCCACCUGCCCAAUGGCAGCCAUGUUAUUUUGUAUGGCUUACCAGAUGGAACCUUUCUCUGGGAUAAUUUGCACAACAGAUAUCAUCCUCUCGGCCAGCUAAAUAAAG